This 468-nucleotide ribosomal RNA is filed under the name uncultured bacterium. RNAcentral's name for it is "partial 16S ribosomal RNA". It matches the Rfam family "Bacterial small subunit ribosomal RNA", at positions 28 to 507 of the family's 1533-position model. The record is from RNAcentral.
GACGAACGCUGGCGGCGUGCUUAACACAUGCAAGUCGAACGGAAAGGCCCUGUUUUUGUGGGGUGCUCGAGUUACGAACGGGUGAGUAACACGUGUGUAACCUGCCCUUGACUGUGGGAUAACUUCAGGAAACUUGGGCUAAUACCGGUUAGGAGCUCUUGCUGCGUGGGGGGGGUUGGACAGUUUGGGUGGUUGGGGAUGGAAUCGCGGAGUAUCUGGUUGGUGGUGGGGUGGUGGCUUAGCAAGGCUUUGACCGGUGGCCGGCCUGGGAGGGUGACCGGACACAUGGGGACGGAGCUAAGGCCCGGCCUCGUACGGGAGGCAGGGGUGGGGAGUGGAACACUGUGGGAGGGAGGCUGAUGCAGCGACGCCGCGUGGGGGGUGACAGCCUUCGGUUUGUAGAGCGCAAUCGCCUGGGACGGAGCGUUAGUGACGGUAAUGGGAGAAGAAGCACCGGCUAACUACGUG